Molecule: ribosomal RNA, 435 nt
Filed under: uncultured bacterium
Lineage: Bacteria
Description: partial 16S ribosomal RNA
Rfam family: Bacterial small subunit ribosomal RNA
Source: RNAcentral
AACGAACGCUGGCGGCAUGCCUAACACAUGCAAGUCGAACGAUUGCCUUCGGGUGAUAGUGGCGCACGGGUGCGUAACGCGUGGGAAUCUGCCCUUAGGUUCGGAAUAACAGCUGGAAACGGCUGCUAAUACCGGAUGAUAUCGCGAGAUCAAAGAUUUAUCGCCUGAGGAUGAGCCCGCGUUGGAUUAGGUAGUUGGUGGGGUAAAGGCCUACCAAGCCGACGAUCCAUAGCUGGUCUGAGAGGAUGAUCAGCCACACUGGGACUGAGACACGGCCCAGACUCCUACGGGAGGCAGCAGUGGGGAAUAGUGGACAAUGGGCGCAAGCCUGAUCCAGCAAUGCCGCGUGAGUGAUGAAGGCCCUAGGGUUGUAAAGCUCUUUUACCCGGGAAGAUAAUGACUGUACCGGGAGAAUAAGCCCCGGCUAACUCCGUG